ACUCGAAGUUUAUUUGCACUGAUCUUCUGCAUUGCACUUUGCUGAUACGCCAGACAACCAUUGCAAUUAUCAAUAUGACAGGGAUUGCAAGGAUCAGGAUGGUGAGAAGGGAAGAUUUGUUGUGGGAGCGAUUAAGAAUUACACAGACCAGCUCCUGGACUAUGGAAAAGACACUCAAUAUAACCUCACACAAGCUCUUCUAUUCCUCUCUCAUUUUAUGGAAGAUGUACAUCAGGUGAGCAUGAUAAAGCACGAAAAUCACCAUAUACUAAGCUAGCAUCUGACUUCCAAUUUAGUUAUUGUAAUGGUUCUUUUGCAUGGUGAAUCUGCAACCUCUACAUGUGGGAUUUACCUCUGACAAAGGAGGCAAUUUAAUUAACAUUCACUGGUAUAGAAGGAAGCAAAAUCUUCACCAUUUAAGUCUAAUUCUCAGGUUCAUUCACUACUACUGUAUGAUCUAUUUCACCAUCUACUCUACUCACCAAUUUUUUGCUACACAGGUUUGGGAUUUCAACAUAAUUGAAACAGUCUAAGAAAGAUUUUAUGACUUAGACAUAAAUAGCUUCACCAAAGCCAUUCAAUAGAAUAUAACUUUAUUUUAUCCCAA
This is a non-coding RNA of Vigna umbellata (rice bean), 607 nucleotides long. NCBI's taxonomy places the organism in Eukaryota, Viridiplantae, Streptophyta, Magnoliopsida, Fabales, Fabaceae. The record is from RefSeq and is a predicted model, not a curated record.